This 265-nucleotide ribosomal RNA is filed under the name uncultured bacterium. Its description in RNAcentral is "partial 16S ribosomal RNA". It matches the Rfam family "Bacterial small subunit ribosomal RNA", at positions 57 to 305 of the family's 1533-position model. The record is from RNAcentral.
GCAAGUCGAACGAGAAAGUUUCCUUCGGGAAAUUAGUAGAGUGGCGCACGGGUGAGUAAUACGUUGGUAAUCUACCCUCGAAUUUGGGAUAACAUCGCGAAAGUGGUGCUAAUACCGGAUAAUGUUUAAAUGUCCUUGGAUGUUUAAAUCAAAGAUGGCCUCUUCUUGAAAGCUAUCGUUUGAGGAUGAGCCACGCACCAUUAGCUAGUUGGUAGGGUAAAGGCCUACCAAGGCUUCGAUGGUUAGCUGGUCUGAGAGGAUGAUC